GCCUGGGUGGCUCAGUCGGUGAAGCGUCCGACUUUGGCUCAGGUCAUGAUCUCACGGUCUGUGGGUUCAAGCCCCACGUCGGGCU
This 85-nucleotide transfer RNA is filed under the name Felis catus (domestic cat). It matches the Rfam family "tRNA". Rfam says of the family: Transfer RNA (tRNA) molecules are approximately 80 nucleotides in length. Their secondary structure includes four short double-helical elements and three loops (D, anti-codon, and T loops). Further hydrogen bonds mediate the characteristic L-shaped molecular structure. tRNAs have two regions of fundamental functional importance: the anti-codon, which is responsible for specific mRNA codon recognition, and the 3' end, to which the tRNAs corresponding amino acid is attached (by aminoacyl-tRNA synthetases). tRNAs cope with the degeneracy of the genetic code in two manners: having more than one tRNA (with a specific anti-codon) for a particular amino acid; and 'wobble' base-pairing, i.e. permitting non-standard base-pairing at the 3rd anti-codon position. The record is from Rfam by way of RNAcentral. Lineage: Eukaryota; Metazoa; Chordata; Mammalia; Carnivora; Felidae.